GCCAUACUGCAGUGGCAGUCUUUAUAUAAGUUCACACGGUCCGAUGAAAGUUUCUAAUAUUCUUCACAAAAUCAGAUGAUACCUAUGAUUUUAUACAACAGGCACCAGCAUUAUAAUGAAUAUAUGAAGAUCAUUAAUAAAGAAAGAUUUCUUCUUCAACUACUUAUCAGGAUAGGCUAGAAGAGGCAAAAACCAGUACAAUGACAGUCUUCAUGUAAAUUCACACAGCCCAAUGAGAGCUUCCAAUAUUCUUCACAAAUUAUCAAAUAGUAAUGAUGACUUUAUACAACAAGCACCAGCAUUAUAAUAAAUAUGAAGAUUAUCAAUAAGAAAAGACUUAUUCAUUUAUUAUUCUUCAACUACUUAUCAGAUCACAAUAGAAAGGCUUGAAGAAUCAAGAUACAAUGGCAAUCUUCGUACA
Nylanderia fulva is the source of this 421-nucleotide non-coding RNA. NCBI's taxonomy places the organism in Eukaryota, Metazoa, Arthropoda, Insecta, Hymenoptera, Formicidae. The record is from RefSeq and is a predicted model, not a curated record.